RNAcentral lists this ribosomal RNA (253 nucleotides) under uncultured bacterium. RNAcentral's name for it is "partial 16S ribosomal RNA". It matches the Rfam family "Bacterial small subunit ribosomal RNA", at positions 524 to 776 of the family's 1533-position model. The record is from RNAcentral.
UACGUAGGGUGCAAGCGUUGUCCGGAAUUAUUGGGCGUAAAGAGCUCGUAGGCGGUCUGUCGCGUCGGCUGUGAAACCGGGCCGGUCAACCCCGGGCCUGCAGUCGAUACGGGCAGACUAGAGUGCGGUAGGGGAGACUGGAAUUCCUGGUGUAGCGGUGAAAUGCGCAGAUAUCAGGAGGAACACCGGUGGCGAAGGCGGGUCUCUGGGCCGUAACUGACGCUGAGGAGCGAAAGCGUGGGGAGCGAACAGG